Small nucleolar RNA from Tachyglossus aculeatus (Australian echidna), 138 nucleotides. NCBI's taxonomy places the organism in Eukaryota, Metazoa, Chordata, Mammalia, Monotremata, Tachyglossidae. The record is from RefSeq and is a predicted model, not a curated record.
UCCCUCUCAGGGUCACACCUAGAGAGUUUCCAGUACUCUACCAGUCUUGACUAUGGGAGGGAGAGUCAUGCAGAGACCUACCCAUUCUAUUCCUAGCUUAAGCAGUGGCUUGUGAGUGGGAAGCAAUCUGUUACAAAU